This 69-nucleotide transfer RNA is filed under the name Paraplagusia bilineata (doublelined tonguesole). Its description in RNAcentral is "tRNA-Ile". It matches the Rfam family "tRNA". From Rfam's summary of the family: Transfer RNA (tRNA) molecules are approximately 80 nucleotides in length. Their secondary structure includes four short double-helical elements and three loops (D, anti-codon, and T loops). The record is from RNAcentral. Lineage: Eukaryota; Metazoa; Chordata; Actinopteri; Pleuronectiformes; Cynoglossidae.
GGAGCUGUGUCUGAAUAAAGAGUCACUUUGAUAGAGUGAAUCAUGUAGGUGAAAAUCCUGCCAACUCCU